ACAUCAGACCCCAGGUUCUUUGUCCUUUGCACUCUUUGAACUUACACCAGCGGUUUGCAAGGGGCUCUUGGGCCUUUGGCCACAGACUGAAGGCUGCACUGACCAUUUUCCUACUUUUGAGGUUUUGGGACUUGGACUGAGCCGCUACUGGCUUCCUUGCUCUUCAACUUGCAGACAGCCUGUAGUGGGACUUCACCUUGUGAUCAUGCUGCUGACUAACUUAAUGAACUGAACGGAUUAAAAUGGUGCAAGAGAAAAGGGCAUUUUUACACAAAAGGAAGCAUUUUCUGUGUUCCAGUUCAGCUGUUCCAAUGACAUUUGGUGGUGUUAUCAGUGUGAAUUAUAGACAAGCAAGUUUCUUUAUCCAGACUGACGCAUCAACCAUGAUCUAGCAUUUGCAAGAUGUGUAAUUACUUUGACUUUCAAGAAAACAUCUUCUGAUCUAAGGAACUUCCCAAGAUAUCAAAGACAGUUCUGGCCCGCCACACCCUUAUCCUGUGCCCAUAUAAACCCCAAGCUCCACAAACAGAGGAGUAGAGGAGCAGCAGAGUGGCAGAGCAGCACACCAGAGAAGGAGAGAAGAGGAGGAGUGUCUGAACGUAGGGAGGAGUCCGGCUGGGGACGGUUGGAGAGGAGCUCAGCUGUGGGAUGACUGAACUCCAGGCAAGAUCAUCUUCCCACUCCAUCUCCUCUCCAGCUCCCCAUCCAUCCCACUGAGAGCCACUUCCACCACUCAAUAAAAUCCUCGCAUUCACCAUCCUUCAAGUCCGAGUGACUUGAUUCUUCCUGGAUGCCAGACAAGGACCCCGGUACCAAGAGGGCAGGAUGUUAAGGCUGUCACCCGGACUCUCCACUGAGCAGGUUUAAUUCCUAGCCAUCCUCGGACAGCAAAACUGCUAAAAGGGCAUUAAUUGUAAUACACCCCUAGAUGCUAUAGUGGGGCCAGAGCCCAGAAGCUUGCUCCCUGUCUCCUGCACCUGCCCCUCUGCAUGCUCCCCCUUCUGUAAGGGGUUUGAGUAAAUGACAGACAAGCAAAGGAGCCACACCUUUGUCACAAGUCCUGCAAGGGGGUCAGGGAACUCUCUUAUUUCAUUAGGAACCAGAAACAAUUACUGGGUGCUCAAAAUAUGGCAAAUAUGGCAUUCAUAGAUAUUUUAACCUUCAUUUCUCUAAUCUAUUAAUUUUACUUUAAAGCUGGCUGGCUCAGGAAUACUCUCACAGUGAUGGCAGAAGAGCAAAUCUGGAAGUUCAAACACUCAAAUGUGUUGUUGGAUUUCUGCAUGCAUCACAUGGGCUAACAACUGGUCAAAGCAAAUCACAUGGCCAAACUAAAAAUCAAAGGCCUGGAAGGUAGACCCUACUUUUCUAUUAAGAUGAACUGCCUAGUAACAUAGGAAAAGGUGGUGAAACCAUGAAAGAUGAAAAAUACAGGGCUGCAAUGUUAUCUACCUCAUUUAUUUUGAUACUCUAGACCUAAGGGGAGUAGUGGAUUAACACGGGUACUAGUCUCUGGGUGUUGUGCCAUCUGUUGUUGGUUUCCUUAACGAUGACAAACUUAUAAGUAUAUUCUUUCAACUAAAUUCAUUUGAGUAUAAUGUUUUCAAGACAAUGGAUUGAUAUACAGUAGACAUAGCUUAUGUAAACAACCUGUGUAUCAAUCCUGUUGACUUAGGCUUUUACCAAUAGUUGUUUUCUAUCGAACCUUCAUUAAAGCUCCACAUGGUUAAUAAUCCAGGGUCUCUUUCAUGUAGCUUCAUCUCCGUUGUUUUAAGUUCUCUAAUUUUAGGAAGUCCAUGGUUUUAUAUUAAGCUGAUAUGGUUAUGCUUAAAACCAGCAUGGGACCUGGAGAAUGACACACAAGAUAUCCAACCAAUGUAGUUUUUUAUGUAAUUUCUCUUGUUUGAAUAGAUGUACCAUUCAUACUUCUACUACUGUAGAGACGGGUUCACAGGUAGGUAGUGACUAGGAGACAUCUACUUUGAAAACUAAUAAAAAUAUUUGGCUGUCUAAAAAAUAUGCACUACCCAAAUCAGUGCAGUAUAGGGUAAAUAAUUUUAAAAAGAAUGUUAGGGAGCAAAUUCUUGGUGGUUUCUUACAUUUAUGCAUUAUCUUACAAAUGAGGACACAUUUGUACCUUUUUCCAAACUGUGUUUUUAAAAGUGUUUGUAUAAGAGCCUUAGAAAAUAUAGAGUAUCUACUUUUGAAGAGCAAAAAAUAAACAUUCUAACUGAACAGUUAAAAAUAAUGGGCAUACAUAAACUCGGGAUUUUUCUGCAGUAAGGAAGCUUACCGCUUAUGCAGGUUUAACUAUCCCUCUUCACAUUACCCUGUGAAAACUGGGUCUCAGAAACUGGUGCAGAAAUGCCAGUACUCUAGCUAUGCUGAUUGUUGAUAAUAAAAAACUCUACAGACAAAGUGCUAUAUUGAAGGUUACAGAAGAAUAAAGAAGUUCUGAAUAGAACAGAAGCUUUCAUAAGGCAGGGGUUAUAACGACCAACAGAGACUCCACAAAACCAUUUACUCACAAGAGAAAAUAUGGCACGGAUUGGAUUAGAAGUGGAAAGACUAAUGCAUUUUUGUCCAUAAGGAUUAGAAGAAAAAUGGUUCUCUCAGCUCUGCAAGUGAGCACAACAAGCAAUCCAAAAGCAUUAUUUGUGUGAAGCAGUUUGUAGAAUUUGUUCCAUUUGUCACUAGAACUAGUGUUUGAAGCUCAGCAAAAGUUGAGUUAUGGUUAAGCCCCAGGGUCAGUGGCCACGUGUUCAGAGUAGUACCUUAGGUUUAAAGCUGAUUCACAACCUGAAAAACACUCAGUGGUGUUCUCUCCCAAAUUAUCAAUCAUUACCUUGUGGUGUUUUAAAAAGAGGAUAGAAGAUUGCUUGACCAGAAAAUAAUGACAAUAAAA
Molecule: long non-coding RNA, 2902 nt
Filed under: Homo sapiens (human)
Lineage: Eukaryota; Metazoa; Chordata; Mammalia; Primates; Hominidae
Description: non-protein coding lnc-MRPL39-13:3
Source: RNAcentral